RNAcentral lists this ribosomal RNA (619 nucleotides) under uncultured Lachnospiraceae bacterium. RNAcentral's name for it is "bacterial SSU rRNA". It matches the Rfam family "Bacterial small subunit ribosomal RNA", at positions 98 to 735 of the family's 1533-position model. Lineage: Bacteria; Bacillati; Bacillota; Clostridia; Lachnospirales; Lachnospiraceae. The record is from RNAcentral.
GCGGACGGGUGAGUAACGCGUGGGUAACCUGCCUCAUACAGGGGGAUAACAGUUGGAAACGGCUGCUAAUACCGCAUAAGCGCACAGUACCGCAUGGUACCGUGUGAAAAACUCCGGUGGUAUGAGAUGGACCCGCGUCUGAUUAGCUAGUUGGUGGGGUAACGGCCUACCAAGGCGACGAUCAGUAGCCGACCUGAGAGGGUGACCGGCCACAUUGGGACUGAGACACGGCCCAAACUCCUACGGGAGGCAGCAGUGGGGAAUAUUGCACAAUGGGGGAAACCCUGAUGCAGCGACGCCGCGUGAGCGAUGAAGUAUUUCGGUAUGUAAAGCUCUAUCAGCAGGGAAGAAAAUGACGGUACCUGACUAAGAAGCCCCGGCUAACUACGUGCCAGCAGCCGCGGUAAUACGUAGGGGGCAAGCGUUAUCCGGAUUUACUGGGUGUAAAGGGAGCGUAGACGGCAUGGCAAGCCAGAUGUGAAAGCCCGGGGCUCAACCCCGGGACUGCAUUUGGAACUGUCAGGCUAGAGUGUCGGAGAGGAAAGCGGAAUUCCUAGUGUAGCGGUGAAAUGCGUAGAUAUUAGGAGGAACACCAGUGGCGAAGGCGGCUUUCUGGACG